CAGAUCAGCCGCGGUAAUUCCAGCUCCAAUAGCGUAUAUUAAAGUUGUUGCAGUUAAAAAGCUCGUAGUUGAAUUUCGGGAUCAAUAUGUCGGUCGUGCCUCGGUACGUACUGGCGUAAUUGGUUUCUCCCUUCUGAAGAACCGCGAUGUCAUUAAUUUGGUGUCGUGGGGAAUCAGGACUGUUACUUUGAAAAAAUUAGAGUGUUUAAAGCAGGCUCGCGCUUGAAUACAUUAGCAUGGAAUAAUGAAAUAGGACGUUUGAUUCUAUUUUGUUGGUUUCUAGGAUCGACGUAAUGAUUAAUAGGGAUAGUUGGGGGCAUUAGUAUUCAAUUGUCAGAGGUGAAAUUCUUGGAUUUAUUGAAGACUAACUACUGCGAAAGCAUUUGCCAAGGAUGUUUUCAUUAAUCAAGAACGAAAGUUAGGGGAUCGAAGACGAUCAGAUACCGUCGUAGUCUUAACCAUAAACUAUGCCGACUAGGGAUCGGAUGAUGUUAAUUUUUUAAUGACUCAUUCGGCGCCUUACG
This 524-nucleotide ribosomal RNA is filed under the name uncultured Glomeromycotina. Its description in RNAcentral is "partial small subunit ribosomal RNA". It matches the Rfam family "Eukaryotic small subunit ribosomal RNA", at positions 568 to 1092 of the family's 1831-position model. The record is from RNAcentral. Lineage: Eukaryota; Fungi; Glomeromycota.